This 514-nucleotide ribosomal RNA is filed under the name Penicillium citrinum. RNAcentral describes it as "eukaryotic LSU rRNA". The stretch from base 131 to 284 matches the Rfam family "5.8S ribosomal RNA". Lineage: Eukaryota; Fungi; Ascomycota; Eurotiomycetes; Eurotiales; Aspergillaceae. The record is from RNAcentral.
GAGCGGCUCGGGGCNACCUCCCACCCGUGUUGCCCGAACCUAUGUUGCCUCGGCGGGCCCCGCGCCCGCCGACGGCCCCCCUGAACGCUGUCUGAAGUUGCAGUCUGAGACCUAUAACGAAAUUAGUUAAAACUUUCAACAACGGAUCUCUUGGUUCCGGCAUCGAUGAAGAACGCAGCGAAAUGCGAUAACUAAUGUGAAUUGCAGAAUUCAGUGAAUCAUCGAGUCUUUGAACGCACAUUGCGCCCUCUGGUAUUCCGGAGGGCAUGCCUGUCCGAGCGUCAUUGCUGCCCUCAAGCCCGGCUUGUGUGUUGGGCCCCGUCCCCCCCGCCGGGGGGACGGGCCCGAAAGGCAGCGGCGGCACCGCGUCCGGUCCUCGAGCGUAUGGGGCUUCGUCACCCGCUCUAGUAGGCCCGGCCGGCGCCAGCCGACCCCCAACCUUUAAUUAUCUCAGGUUGACCUCGGAUCAGGUAGGGAUACCCGCUGAACUUAAGCAUAUCAAUAAGCGGAGGAA